This 377-nucleotide ribosomal RNA is filed under the name uncultured bacterium. RNAcentral's name for it is "bacterial SSU rRNA". It matches the Rfam family "Bacterial small subunit ribosomal RNA", at positions 521 to 896 of the family's 1533-position model. The record is from RNAcentral.
UAAUACGUAGGGAGCGAGCGUUGUCCGGAAUCAUUGGGCGUAAAGAGCGCGUAGGUGGAUCAAUUAGUCUGCUGUGAAAGUCAAAGGCUCAACCUUUGAAAGCCGGUGGAUACUGUUGAUCUAGAGUACGGAAGAGGCGAGUGGAAUUCCUGGUGUAGCGGUGGAAUGCGCAGAUAUCAGGAGGAACACCAAUAGCGAAGGCAGCUCGCUGGGACGUUACUGACACUGAGGCGCGAAAGCGUGGGGAGCAAACAGGAUUAGAUACCCUGGUAGUCCACGCCGUAAACGAUGGGUACUAGGUGUGGGAGGUGUCGACUCCUCCCGUACCGUCGCUAACGCACUAAGUACCCCGCCUGGGGAGUACGGCCGCAAGGCUA